CCUGGAUCUCCGGCUCACUCGCCAUGUGGUACAGCGCCCAGGAGAUGGUGUUGGACGUCUGCAGAGGGUCAAAGGUCAGGGUUUAAAGCAGUUCGGUGAUGCUCCCCAGCACCUCGUGGACGGACAUCUGCUCGCUGACCAGCAGGUGUGUCAGUGAAUAGGUGGUCCCAGACGGCCACAAAGUGCUUCCAGAAGGGCAGGUAAGGCCAGAGAGAUUUGGGGAAGAGCACGAUGAUGGGGGAGAGGCGGAACAUCUCCCCCACGGAGAAGAUGAACCUCUCAGUCUCCUCAGGAACCUUUUCAUUCAGGCAGCCCAGACGCGUCUCAAACAGCACGGAGGAAAUGCCUACGGCAGGAGAGAGAGACCACAAUUCAUUACGGUUCCCCAGGCACUAGGAUUCAACCUUGAAAGGUGAACUUGGAAGUGUGAUCAACUCUUCCAGGACCUGUCUGUAUCAGCCUUCAAGGUGAACUUGGAAGUGUGAUCAACUCUUCCAGGACCUGUCUGUAUCAGCCUUCAAGGUGAACUUGGAAGUGUGAUCAACUCUUCCAGGACCUGUCUGUAUCAGCCUUCAAGGUGAACUUGGAAGUGUGAUCAACUCUUCCAGGACCUGUCUGUAUCAGCCUUCAAGGUGAACUUGGAAGUGUGAUCAACUCUUCCAGGACCUGUCUGUAUCAGCCUUCAAGGUGAACUUGAAAGUGUGAUCAACUCUUCCAGGACCUGUCUGUAUCAGCCUUCAAGGUGAACUUGGAAGUGUGAUCAACUCUUCAAGGACCUGUCUGUAUCAGCCUUCAAGGUGAACUUGGAAGUGUGAUCAACUCUUCCAGGACCUGUCUAUAUCAGCCUUCAAGGUGAACUUGGAAGUGUGAUCAACUCUUCAAGGACCUGUCUGUAUCAGCCUUCAAGGGCACAACAAAAUGAUGUAUGUGCAGAGCUGACCAACACACUGCUGCACCCAACCAAGUUCACAAGAAACACAAUUAUGUCGUAACUUCUGACAAAACCUGUGGCCUUGAGAUUAUUGACAGAGGAACUAUUUGGCAUGUAGACAUAAGAUGAGAUAAGACAUAUCCUAGACUGUAGUUGUACAUUGAUAUGAAUGAAGUUAGAGUGAGGGGAGACAGCGGUACACUGUGCACUGACACGAUGGCUAGACCGAAGGGUUAAGGUACACUGAAGUCAUGAUGUAGAACAAAAUUACGCCAAGGACUAAACUCUAAGGCAUAUGGAUAAGUAAGGCCUGGAUAGGUUUCAGUCCAUUUGUUUGAAACUAGUGUAGUAUGCAGCGCAGGCAUGAAUUUGUGGGGCAGACUUAGACUUUUUACAGUCACAAACCUGCACUGAAGUGCAUUGAAUGUCAUCAACACACUGGUUGAUAGUGGUUCACCGGUUACUGGUCAGCUCAAUUGUAAAGCCUGCCUGUCUAGUAUUGAAACACCCAUUGCCUUACCUUCAAAAGCAAACUUAUACAGCUCCCCUGCCAAAUCAUUGACCAUGACUCCGUCCCCUGUAGUCUUCCGGAGCCAGUCCACCUUCUGGACGAAGUCCCUGACCACCUCGUUGAUGGCAUUGGUGUACGAUGAAACAUGCUGGGGUUUUAGCAUCCUGGGGUUCAGAAUGCUUCUGAUUCUCUGCCAUUUCACCCCCAUUCUAGAACACAGGAGCACAAUGGAGUUAUUGUCUGGUGCUCUGUUGUCUAAGAGACAAGGGUUACUCAAGGAUAGCGGGCUUCUCAUGUUAGAGGACGAUGCCAUGUAUUAUGAACCCUUAAACUGUAACUGAACAGAUGUUUUCUGGAAAAACCUGAAAACCUGAACAAUGGUGGUUUGUUAGCUUGUUUUGAAUUGCUUCGAUGUCAGCUGCAAAUACGGCAUGUUUAGGUUUAAAGACACGGCUUUAGCAUGGAUACAAAGUCUUGCAAGCUGUGGCUGUAAAACAAACAUACUAACUCGGCUGGAACUCUCAGUUCAACCAGUUCAAUAAACACGUGGGUCAGUUUCAAAUUACACUUUCACAAUAAAACACAUUUAACCGGACAUCAA
This is a long non-coding RNA of Alosa alosa (allis shad), 2043 nucleotides long. RefSeq lists it as uncharacterized. Lineage: Eukaryota; Metazoa; Chordata; Actinopteri; Clupeiformes; Clupeidae. The transcript is spliced from 4 exons. The record is from RefSeq and is a predicted model, not a curated record.